GCAAAAGCCUGCCUGAUUCUGAU
This 23-nucleotide unclassified non-coding RNA is filed under the name Dictyostelium discoideum. The record is from RNAcentral. Lineage: Eukaryota; Evosea; Eumycetozoa; Dictyosteliales; Dictyosteliaceae.